RNAcentral lists this transfer RNA (69 nucleotides) under Aetobatus flagellum (longheaded eagle ray). Its description in RNAcentral is "tRNA-Phe". It matches the Rfam family "tRNA". Rfam says of the family: Transfer RNA (tRNA) molecules are approximately 80 nucleotides in length. Their secondary structure includes four short double-helical elements and three loops (D, anti-codon, and T loops). The record is from RNAcentral. Lineage: Eukaryota; Metazoa; Chordata; Chondrichthyes; Myliobatiformes; Myliobatidae.
GCCAGCGUAGCUUAAACCAAAGCAUAGCACUGAAAAUGCUAAGACAAAAACUAACCUUUUUCGCAAGCA